AGCAGUCGCCGCGGUAAUACGAAGGGGGCUAGCGUUGCUCGGAAUGACUGGGCGUAAAGGGCGCGUAGGCGGCGAUCAAAGUCAGGCGUGAAAUUCCUGGGCUCAACCUGGGGGCUGCGCUUGAUACUUGGUUGCUUGAGUGGGGAAGAGGGUCGUGGAAUUCCCAGUGUAGAGGUAAAAUUCGUAGAUAUUGGGAAGAACACCGGUGGCGAAGGCGGCGACCUGGUCCUUGACUGACGCUGAGGCGCGAAAGCGUGGGGAGCAAACAGGAUUAGAUACCCCCGUAGUCCCUGUCUCUUAUAC
RNAcentral lists this ribosomal RNA (303 nucleotides) under uncultured bacterium. Its description in RNAcentral is "partial 16S ribosomal RNA". It matches the Rfam family "Bacterial small subunit ribosomal RNA", at positions 507 to 807 of the family's 1533-position model. The record is from RNAcentral.